RNAcentral lists this ribosomal RNA (269 nucleotides) under uncultured bacterium. RNAcentral describes it as "partial 16S ribosomal RNA". It matches the Rfam family "Bacterial small subunit ribosomal RNA", at positions 1234 to 1500 of the family's 1533-position model. The record is from RNAcentral.
CGUAAACAGAGGGAAGCGAAGUGGAGACACGGAGCGAACCCCAAAAAUAAACGUCCCAGUUCGGAUUGUAGUCUGCAACCCGACUACAUGAAGCUGGAAUCGCUAGUAAUCGCGGAUCAGAAUGCCGCGGUGAAUACGUUCCCGGGUCUUGUACACACCGCCCGUCACACCAUGGGAGUCGAUAACGCCCGAAGUCAGUGACCCAACCUGUAAGGAGGGAGCUGCCGAAGGCGGGAUUGAUAACUGGGGUGAAGUCGUAACAAGGUACC